AAAUAGGAAGCUAGAAAGCAAUUAACUUCGACCUAAUAAUUGAGUAUAAAAAUUACUCCCUAUUUA
This 66-nucleotide transfer RNA is filed under the name Micrasema sp. XG-2021. Its description in RNAcentral is "tRNA-Arg". The record is from RNAcentral. Lineage: Eukaryota; Metazoa; Arthropoda; Insecta; Trichoptera; Brachycentridae.